RNAcentral lists this ribosomal RNA (497 nucleotides) under uncultured bacterium. RNAcentral describes it as "partial 16S ribosomal RNA". It matches the Rfam family "Bacterial small subunit ribosomal RNA", at positions 28 to 507 of the family's 1533-position model. The record is from RNAcentral.
GAUGAACGCUGGCGGCGUGCCUAAUACAUGCAAGUCGAGCGAACAGAUGAGGAGCUUGCUCCUCUGACGUUAGCGGCGGACGGGUGAGUAACACGUGGAUAACCUACCUAUAAGACUGGGAUAACUUCGGGAAACCGGGGCUAAUACCGGAUAAUAUAUUGAACCGCAUGGUUCAAUAGUGAAAGACGGUUUUGCUGUCACUUAUAGAUGGAUCCGCGCCGCAUUAGCUAGUUGGUAAGGUAACGGCUUACCAAGGCAACGAUGCGUAGCCGACCUGAGAGGGUGAUCGGCCACACUGGAACUGAGACACGGUCCAGACUCCUACGGGGGGCAGCAGUAGGGAAUCUUCCGCAAUGGGCGAAAGCCUGACGGAGCAACGCCGCGUGAGUGAUGAAGGUCUUCGGAUCGUAAAACUCUGUUAUUAGGGAAGAACAAAUGUGUAAGUAACUAUGCACGUCUUGACGGUACCUAAUCAGAAAGCCACGGCUAACUACGUG